Molecule: ribosomal RNA, 253 nt
Filed under: uncultured bacterium
Lineage: Bacteria
Description: partial 16S ribosomal RNA
Rfam family: Bacterial small subunit ribosomal RNA
Source: RNAcentral
CACGUAGGGCGCGAGCGUUGUCCGGAAUUAUUGGGCGUAAAGAGCUCGUAGGCGGCCCGAUAAGUCUGCUGUGAAAGUCCAGGGCUCAACCCUGGAAUGCCGGUGGAUACUGUCGGGCUAGAGUUCGGAAGAGGCAAGUGGAAUUCCUGGUGUAGCGGUGGAAUGCGCAGAUAUCAGGAGGAACACCUAUAGCGAAGGCAGCUUGCUGGGACGACACUGACGCUGAGGCGCGAAAGCGUGGGGAGCGAACAGG